RNAcentral lists this ribosomal RNA (872 nucleotides) under uncultured bacterium. RNAcentral describes it as "bacterial SSU rRNA". It matches the Rfam family "Bacterial small subunit ribosomal RNA", at positions 73 to 940 of the family's 1533-position model. The record is from RNAcentral.
GAGGUGCUUGCACCUUAUCUUAGCGGCGGACGGGUGAGUAAUGCUUAGGAAUCUACCUAUUAGUGGGGGACAACGUUUCGAAAGGAACGCUAAUACCGCAUACGUCCUACGGGAGAAAGCAGGGGACCUUCGGGCCUUGCGCUAAUAGAUGAGCCUAAGUCGGAUUAGCUAGUUGGUGGGGUAAAGGCCUACCAAGGCGACGAUCUGUAGCGGGUCUGAGAGGAUGAUCCGCCACACUGGGACUGAGACACGGCCCAGACUCCUACGGGAGGCAGCAGUGGGGAAUAUUGGACAAUGGGGGGAACCCUGAUCCAGCCAUGCCGCGUGUGUGAAGAAGGCCUUUUGGUUGUAAAGCACUUUAAGCGGGGAAGAGGCUACUUAGAUUAAUACUCUAGGAUAGUGGACGUUACCCGCAGAAUAAGCACCGGCUAACUCUGUGCCAGCAGCCGCGGUAAUACAGAGGGUGCGAGCGUUAAUCGGAUUUACUGGGCGUAAAGCGUGCGUAGGUGGUCUUUUAAGUCGGAUGUGAAAUCCCUGAGCUUAACUUAGGAAUUGCAUUCGAUACUGGGAGACUAGAGUAUGGGAGAGGAUGGUAGAAUUCCAGGUGUAGCGGUGAAAUGCGUAGAGAUCUGGAGGAAUACCGAUGGCGAAGGCAGCCAUCUGGCCUAAUACUGACACUGAGGCACGAAAGCAUGGGGAGCAAACAGGAUUAGAUACCCUGGUAGUCCAUGCCGUAAACGAUGUCUACUAGCCGUUGGGGUCUUUGAGACUUUAGUGGCGCAGCUAACGCGAUAAGUAGACCGCCUGGGGAGUACGGUCGCAAGACUAAAACUCAAAUGAAUUGACGGGGGCCCGCACAAGCGGUGGAGCAU